CGAGUGGCGAACGGGUGAGUAACGCGUGAGGAACCUGCCUCAAAGAGGGGGACAACAGUUGGAAACGACUGCUAAUACCGCAUAAGCCCACGGGUCGGCAUCGACCAGAGGGAAAAGGAGCAAUCCGCUUUGAGAUGGCCUCGCGUCCGAUUAGCUAGUUGGUGAGGUAAUGGCCCACCAAGGCAACGAUCGGUAGCCGGACUGAGAGGUUGAACGGCCACAUUGGGACUGAGACACGGCCCAGACUCCUACGGGAGGCAGCAU
RNAcentral lists this ribosomal RNA (264 nucleotides) under uncultured bacterium. RNAcentral describes it as "partial 16S ribosomal RNA". It matches the Rfam family "Bacterial small subunit ribosomal RNA", at positions 92 to 353 of the family's 1533-position model. The record is from RNAcentral.